GGGGAUUUAGCUCAGUGGUAGAGCGCUUGCCUAGUAUUUGCAAGGCCUUGGGUUCAGUCCUCA
This 63-nucleotide transfer RNA is filed under the name Rattus norvegicus (Norway rat). It matches the Rfam family "tRNA". Rfam says of the family: Transfer RNA (tRNA) molecules are approximately 80 nucleotides in length. Their secondary structure includes four short double-helical elements and three loops (D, anti-codon, and T loops). The record is from Rfam by way of RNAcentral. Lineage: Eukaryota; Metazoa; Chordata; Mammalia; Rodentia; Muridae.